Molecule: long non-coding RNA, 1573 nt
Organism: Lutra lutra (Eurasian river otter)
Lineage: Eukaryota; Metazoa; Chordata; Mammalia; Carnivora; Mustelidae
Exons: 4
Source: RefSeq, a predicted model, not a curated record
AUUACCACAAAUUUGUUGUCUUAAAGCAAAUUCAUUACAUUACAGUUCUCUAUCUCCAAGUUUGACGCAGAUCUCCCUUGGCUAACAUCAAGGUGUGGACACAACUUCAUGCCCUUCUAAAAGAGUCAGAGAUGGUAAUUUGAUGUCUUUUCACAUGUAUCUGUGUGAUCUACCCUUCUGUCUUCAUUCUCCAUCAUUAAGGAUCACAUAAUUAAAAAUGGGUCACCUGAAUAAUCCAGGAGAACUAUAUUCAGGUCUUUAACUUUAUCAUAUCUCCACAGUCUCUUUUGUCAUGAAGAGUGCAGUCUUCUUGAACAUUUAAAGUGAUUCUGAUUGAACUACAGGAUUGAUUUUGCAAGUAGGACAAGACAGCUCAUUGGAGGAGCCAUCUGAAAGAGAACACACUGAAAUUAAGCAAAGAAAAUUGCCUGGUGAUCCAUUUGGUUUGGCAGGUUGUGAUUGGUGUCUUCACAGAAGAUCUUCAGUCACAUACUGAGAACUCUAAUUAAGAGAGUUAUCUCCAUUUGUGCUGGCUUGAGGGGGUACUUCAAUCAAGUAGAACCUGUUGAAGUGUGAAUAGGAAGAGCAGGGGAAGUCAGAGUGUCAUCGGGAGAAGUGAGUUGGCUGUCGACCAAGAGACAUCACAAGUCAGCUUUACUCUGGCAAAAUGUCCUCAACCCAGUAUGGAGACUUGAGGCAGAAAUCAGCUUUUUGCCUAUACACUGGACCUGAAUCUGUGUAUCAGAGGUAGACUGACUUAACCAGGGCUCUUAGAGGCUGAUAUCAAAGUUCAAAUUAUUUUGCAAUAAGAAGUACUACAUACUUCUGUCCUGAUUAAUAUACUUGCAUUCUUGAGAUGGAUUUGCAUUAGAAGCUGAAAUAUUUUUCAAGAAUUGCUUGGUAGACAUGAAAUCUGAAAUAAGGAGGUUUUUAAUGAUAAUAGCUUCUGAUAAUCUGACACAUCUAUCUCUUCAGUAGAAUAUUCUGUCUCUAGGACCAAAGAGAUCAUACAUCUCAUUACACUACAUGAAUAAUGCUAAAAUUAUUUUCUCUUCUGACUCUCUCUCUCUCUCUCCUUUUUUUUUUUUUUUUUUUUUUUUUAUCAUUGACCAGUCCUUUGGACUGACACAUUUCAGACAGUAUCUGUUGUUGAUAUUAAGAUUGCACUAUCUUCCCGGAAACUUGGAGACCCACUAGGCAAUCCUAUAAAAAAAAUUAAAAAUUAGGCAAAUUCGACACCAUAGAACGUAUUAGCAAUCUGUGUCAUAACCAAGAGCUUAUGUAUCACUGUAUGCUAAUUAAUUCAGGAAGGGUCAAAUUCCAGUUAUGACAUUCAGGCAGUAGACUCAUGGAAACUCAUUCAGCUAAAAUCUAAUUAAUUAAUUUUUUCCUUUUUUCACUUUUACUUUUGAUGGAUUUUAAGUUCACAGAAUGGAAUUAAUCUUAUUUACAUUCAUCCUUAUUUUAUGCAAGCCCAUAUCUGUCUCUGUUUAUCAAUCAUCUAUCUAUUAAUUCUUUAUAGUUAAAAAAGUAACAUAUAUCUGAAUAUUAGAACAAUUAAAAUAAAUUAGAA